This 119-nucleotide small nuclear RNA is filed under the name Neogale vison (American mink). RNAcentral's name for it is "Neovison vison (American mink) U4 spliceosomal RNA (ENSNVIG00000014283.1)". The stretch from base 1 to 68 matches the Rfam family "U4 spliceosomal RNA". From Rfam's summary of the family: U4 small nuclear RNA (U4 snRNA) is a component of the major U2-dependent spliceosome. The structure of U4 snRNA from yeast and human has been reported. The record is from RNAcentral. Lineage: Eukaryota; Metazoa; Chordata; Mammalia; Carnivora; Mustelidae.
AGCUUUGCGCAGUGGCAGUAUCGUAGCCAAUGAGGUUUAUCCGAGGCGCGAUUAUUGCUAAUUAAAAUGAUGGAGCACUGGGUGUGGUGAAAAAAUAAUGAAUACUGUUUUUCUGAAAA